AUAGGAAUAGUUUAAAAAAAAUGAUUGAUUGUGGAUCAAUAGAUAGGUUUCAACCUUUCUUAUA
RNAcentral lists this transfer RNA (64 nucleotides) under Donax vittatus. RNAcentral's name for it is "tRNA-His". It matches the Rfam family "tRNA". From Rfam's summary of the family: Transfer RNA (tRNA) molecules are approximately 80 nucleotides in length. Their secondary structure includes four short double-helical elements and three loops (D, anti-codon, and T loops). Lineage: Eukaryota; Metazoa; Mollusca; Bivalvia; Cardiida; Donacidae. The record is from RNAcentral.